GUGUGUGUGUGUGUGUGAGAGGGCGUGGAUGGUGAGAGGGGCUGCGAGUGUGUGAGACUGUGCGUGUGAGACUGUAUGUGAGAGACUGAGCGAGAGUGUGAGAGACUGUGUGUGAGAGACCGUGUGUGUGAGAGGCUGUGUGUGAGAGACCGUGUGUGAGAGACCGUGUGUGUGAGAGACCGUGUGUGUGAGAGGCUGUGUGUGAGAGACCGUGUGUGUGAGAGACCGUGAGUGUGAGGCUGUGUGGGAGAGGCUGUGUGUGGGAGAGAGUGGGCUGGCGAGGGAGAGGAGAGCGUGUGUGUGGGGCGUGAGAAGCGCGCGCACACGGUCGCGCUCUCGCGGGUCCGCGGCCGCCUGGCCCCGGGGCUGUGCGGCGGGCGCCUGUCCCGAGCCUCCGGCCGGCCUGUGCGCGUCACCGCCCCUGUCCCGGGCCCCGCGGAGGCUCCGCGCGUGCUGCCUGGCGGGGUUGGUUGGUGCAGCCUUGGGAGCGUCCGGUGGGGUGUCUGCCUUUGUGUGUGUUUCAAUAACUGGGUAAGAAUCCGUCUCUCUCAGGGGAGAGGAAGGGGGACACGACUAGUUUAUGACUUUCUUACUACCUGUGACACUGUGAUUUAUAACAAGAAAUACGUGUUUGGUCUUCAUCCCCAUUGCUGGCACACAGCUCCUAACCCUAGGAAUUUCCUGAGGGAGGAGAGCGUGUCUCUUCUUAUGUACCAGGUGCCUUUGGGAAGUCCCUAGGUAACCCAGCGAGGGGCCUGGUCACCGGGAGACCAACCUGUGCUUAGAAGUUGUAUAUCUUAGUUGCAGGUCCUUCUAGUUGUGGGAUGUGGGACGCUGCCUCAACGUGGCCUGAGGAGCGGUGCCAUGUCCGCGCCCAGCACCGCGCCCAGGAUCCGAACCCUGGGCCGCCGCAGCAGAGCACACGAACUUAACCACUCGGCCACAGAGCCAGCUCCUAGGGGACUAAUCCUAUGGAAGUCCUUUAGAAUAUGUUGUCUGGCUUUUUGGAGAUUCAGGCUUCUUGAUUCUUUCAGGAGUGUAUUGAUUCAUCAUUUAGCAGGUAUUUAUUGAACACCACUAGGCAUUAGGCCGAGGUCAAGUUCUCUACUCUUAAGAAGCUUCCAUUUUAUUCUCUUUCGAAUUCUAGUCUGCUUCUCCUGGCAAAAGCCAAGAGCUUUCACCAGAGGGUGGCCAGAAUCCUCUCAUCCCCACCUAGGACUGAUGUCAGAACCUUUUCUUUUUCUUAGUAUUGUCUCCUUUUCAUUUAGGGAAUGAAUUUCUCUUUGAACUGUUAUUCUUUUGUUCAUAGAGACUUUGGUCUUUCCUGGGAGACUUAGGAAAUCACCCCUUUAAAAAAAGAUCUAAUAGUAGCAUUUUACAUAAAAGAUAUUAUUCAGGUUACAUCACAGACAACACACUUUCAAGCACGUCUUAUGGGACAGGAGGGCUGUUUUCACUCUGCUGCACAAUAUAAAUAAUAUACACUUAAAGCGAUUACUGCCUGUUUCCCGUGGGAAAUGUAAAUUUUUAUUACCUAGGCAAUGAUAACAUGUUGGUCUCAAAUUGUGUGUAGUUCAGGUGUGAUUUUUUGGUAUAUUUGCCUUAUGUUUUCCCAGAAAUUAAGUGGCAAGAAACAGAUGCAUGUCUAAGGAGUGGCCUGUGUCGCGCAAAUGUGUCUCAUGUAGUUGCUAUGGGAACAAGGACUUUUAAUUUCUCACUUUUGCACCUUUAAUAUCUUAUCUUUAAUGUUCUUCCACUCUUAUUUGUAUCCAGA
Molecule: long non-coding RNA, 1774 nt
Organism: Equus asinus (donkey)
Lineage: Eukaryota; Metazoa; Chordata; Mammalia; Perissodactyla; Equidae
Source: Ensembl